UAGAAAGGGCAAACUGCGGCACGGAGCCUGAUGGGCCUGCGCGAAGCGGGCUGGUCUGUGUUCCUGUAGUCCAGCUACUCGGCCCAGGGUCAUCCAGCCGGGUGCUUCCGGUCAGACGUGAUUUCAGGGUAGAGUCUGAAGGUUGGCUUUACAGGAUGGAGGGCACAGACAUGUAUGGGCCACGGCCUGACAGAGGAUCAGGUCGCCUCUGCGCCUGGUGACAUCGAGGGAGGGACCCAAGUGAGCAACCUCAGCGACCUGCAGAAAAAUAUGGAGCAAGUAGAUAAACAUCACUGAAGAUAUAGAAAACUUGAACAGAAGACCAAGAGGAAAAUUAAAAUGCCCUUUAUGAUAGCCUCAGAAGCACACACCAUCCCUUCUGCCCAGUUCCACUGGGUCACAGAGCCAGUCCUGAUUCAGGGUAGAAGAUGCUAUUCAA
Fukomys damarensis (Damara mole-rat) is the source of this 439-nucleotide long non-coding RNA. RefSeq lists it as uncharacterized. NCBI's taxonomy places the organism in Eukaryota, Metazoa, Chordata, Mammalia, Rodentia, Bathyergidae. The transcript has 3 exons. The record is from RefSeq and is a predicted model, not a curated record.